GGGAGCGCCGCCGCCUGCCACAAACCGGGAGGGAGGUACGGGUCACGACAGAACGGAUGCGGGCACAAAGAAAAACACAGACGAAGAAGACUACUUAACUGUCGCGCGCCUACCAACAGGUACCUUAUGCUGGAGCUUCGUGAUAACUUUAACAAAUUAAAACGCAGAUGUCACUGAAUGUGCCUUGAAGCCGGAGCUCAGGGGGAUAAAAGAACUUCAUGACGUCUUGGAGAAAACCUGCAGCACACAUUGACGCCUCUUAUUUUGAAAAAUCAAACAAGUGGCGUCAACCAGAAAGAGAUGUAAGAUGGUUUCACAGGAAACGAGCAGCAGCUGACGUCUCUGUUAAUGCUGUUUAAUGACUGCUUCAGACACUUUGUGUGUUGGGAAAUUAGGCAACACUCUGAGAAACCACCACCAACGAAUGUGGUGGAAAAAAGAACACAUAAACCUGAGUUAAACGUGGAGACAACAAAUCUGUCGUAGUUUCUGUAGAGUGGCAGUAGCUUAUUAGAAAUUGUGUCAGGAGUGAUGGUCCGGAAUAAGCAAGCCCCCAUACCAUUUUCUUUUUAUGAAUUAUCAAUAUCCAGUUCAGGACUCAAUAUCAAUUAUUUAUGCCCUACAAUCAUAGAUUUGAGUUAUUAAGAAUCUUUAAGAUCAGUGAUAUAAUCAAUUUCUAACAUCCACAGACAAGUCAUUUAUAUUAAUUAAUACCAAAAAUCUAAAUAUACUCGGACGAUUAUUAUCAAGAAAGAAAUUAUCCACAUCAAUACCAAAAAUCCAAGCAUAUUCAGACCAUCAUCGCCAAAAAAAAUCACCAACCAGCACCAAAAAUCCAAAGCAUACACAUACAUAGCAGAUGAUUAAUAAGAAAAUCGCUCUUUUUUUCCAUCUGCAUUAUUUUGUCUGCUCCUAAUUUUAUAAUUUUACAAAAUAAUAUAAAAUUGUAAUCCUAAUUUUGCUUAUAUGUGCCCUCCAUC
Oryzias melastigma (Indian medaka) is the source of this 980-nucleotide long non-coding RNA. RefSeq lists it as uncharacterized. NCBI's taxonomy places the organism in Eukaryota, Metazoa, Chordata, Actinopteri, Beloniformes, Adrianichthyidae. The transcript has 3 exons. The record is from RefSeq and is a predicted model, not a curated record.